RNAcentral lists this ribosomal RNA (254 nucleotides) under uncultured bacterium. RNAcentral's name for it is "partial 16S ribosomal RNA". It matches the Rfam family "Bacterial small subunit ribosomal RNA", at positions 524 to 776 of the family's 1533-position model. The record is from RNAcentral.
UACGUAGGGGGCAAGCGUUGUCCGGAUUUAUUGGGCGUAAAGAGCGUGUAGGCGGCCCGGUAAGUCCGCUGUGAAAGUCGGGGGGCUCAACCCUCGAAUGCCGGUGGAUACUGUCGGGCUAGAGUGCGGAAGAGGCGAGUGGAAUUCCUGGUGUAGCGGUGAAAUGCGCAGAUAUCAGGAGGAACACCAAUUGCGAAGGCAGCUCGCUGGGACGUAACUGACGCUGAGACGCGAAAGCGUGGGGAGCAAACAGG